UGACGUUUGAAAGGGAGCCAUAGUGUCAG
This 29-nucleotide non-coding RNA is filed under the name Rattus norvegicus (Norway rat). Lineage: Eukaryota; Metazoa; Chordata; Mammalia; Rodentia; Muridae. The record is from RNAcentral.